This 433-nucleotide RNase MRP RNA is filed under the name Serendipita vermifera MAFF 305830. RNAcentral's name for it is "RNase MRP". It matches the Rfam family "RNase MRP". From Rfam's summary of the family: RNase MRP is an enzymatically active ribonucleoprotein with two distinct roles in eukaryotes. In mitochondria it plays a direct role in the initiation of mitochondrial DNA replication. In the nucleus it is involved in precursor rRNA processing, where it cleaves the internal transcribed spacer 1 between 18S and 5.8S rRNAs. Lineage: Eukaryota; Fungi; Basidiomycota; Agaricomycetes; Sebacinales; Serendipitaceae. The record is from Rfam by way of RNAcentral.
GACGUCGACAAAGGAUUGCCAUCGCAGUACACGAACACACCGGCGACGUCGUCUUUGACGAUGAUCGUCCGUUGACUUAUACACUGCGGGAAAAGUCCCCGGAGACACAGCGGCCGUCUCGAACUCUCUUUCCAAAUAAGGCCUCGGUGAAAAAAAGGAAAGCUCCCAUCUCUAAGCACGAUGAGGUCAUUAUUCUCUGUUGGCUGGGGGAGAGAGUUCGAUGGGCGGGCUCGUAUCGAAGGUUCUUUGCGCGUCCUUUCGACCUUCUCUGAUUGGGGGGACGAGACGUUUUAGCAUCCCUCGUCAAUACACGCUGUAGACCCUAUUCUUUUUUUAAUAAAGGGGGGUCCUACGUUUCUCAUAGCCAUAGGCAUGCAAUCGCCGUCACGCUUCGUUGUGGCGGUAUCAGAAUGGGGCUUACUCUUGCCGACGU